GACGAACGCUGGCGGCGCGCUUAACACAUGCAAGUCGAACGGAAAGGCCUGCUUUCCCUUGUGGAUUGCGGGUACUCGAGUGGCGAACGGGUGAGUAACACGUGAGUGAUCUGCCCCCAACUUGGGUAUAAGCCUGGGAAACUGGGUCUAAUUCCCGAUAGGACUGCAGGGUGGUGCCUGUGGUGGAAAACGAUUUUCUAGUGGUUGGGGAUGAGCUCGCGGCCUAUCAGCUUGUUGGUGGGGUAAUGGCCUACCAAGGCGGCGACGGGUAGCCGGCCUGGGAGGGUGGACGGCCACAUUGGGACUGAGAUACGGCCCAGACUCCUACGGAGGCAGCAGUGGGGAGUAUUGCACAAUGGGCGGAAGCCUGAUGCAGCGACGCCGCGUGGGGGAUGACGGCCUCCGGGUUGUAAACUCCUUUCGACCGCGAGGAAGCCACCUGGUUGGAAGGGUGGUGACGGUAGUGGUAGAAGAAGCACCGGCUAACUACGUG
This 493-nucleotide ribosomal RNA is filed under the name uncultured bacterium. RNAcentral's name for it is "partial 16S ribosomal RNA". It matches the Rfam family "Bacterial small subunit ribosomal RNA", at positions 28 to 507 of the family's 1533-position model. The record is from RNAcentral.